Molecule: ribosomal RNA, 482 nt
Filed under: uncultured bacterium
Lineage: Bacteria
Description: partial 16S ribosomal RNA
Rfam family: Bacterial small subunit ribosomal RNA
Source: RNAcentral
AUUGAACGCUGGCGGCAUGCCUUACACAUGCAAGUCGAACGGUAACAGGUCUUCGGAUGCUGACGAGUGGCGAACGGGUGAGUAAUACAUCGGAACGUGCCCGAUCGUGGGGGAUAACGAGGCGAAAGCUUUGCUAAUACCGCAUACGAUCUACGGAUGAAAGCGGGGGAUCUUCGGACCUCGCGCGGACGGAGCGACCGAUGGCAGAUUAGGUAGUUGGUGGGAUAAAAGCUUACCAAGCCGACGAUCUGUAGCUGGUCUGAGAGGAUGAUCAGCCACACUGGGACUGAGACACGGCCCAGACUCCUACGGGAGGCAGCAGUGGGGAAUUUUGGACAAUGGGCGAAAGCCUGAUCCAGCCAUGCCGCGUGCAGGAUGAAGGCCUUCGGGUUGUAAACUGCUUUUGUACGGAACGAAAAGCCUCUUUCUAAUAAAGAGGGGUCAUGACGGUACCGUAAGAAUAAGCACCGGCUAACUACGUG